This 493-nucleotide unclassified non-coding RNA is filed under the name Hevea brasiliensis (rubber tree). The record is from RNAcentral. Lineage: Eukaryota; Viridiplantae; Streptophyta; Magnoliopsida; Malpighiales; Euphorbiaceae.
AAAUCAAUCAAUAUAUUGGAACAGCCAACAGUUGAGACACGUCCUAUCUAUCUAUCUAUACAACAAAUGACAGCUACCUUCAUUCUUCUCCAAGCUUUUUCUGUAAAUAAAUAAUACUCCCAUCAAGUCAGGUAAUCUUCAGACAAGAAAGGAGACACAACAUAUACCUAACCAUUUAGGUUGUAUUUGGUUGACGUAUUCUGUAUUGAUAUUUUUCCCUCGGCUUGACUUGCGAUAACUAUAACCCCGCUUGAAGCCCAAAAAUAUUUAUCAAAAAAUGAUCUAAUCACUGUCGCCAGAAUAAUAAUCAUUGUUGCCUGUACUUUCUUCUCCGUCUUGGUUUUCAACUUCAUGAUCAUCCGGAUCAUUACUGGAAUGAUCAAAUGGUUCUCUUUCUGUAAGGAAGAACCCAUCCUCAGAAGGCUUGUAGUUUUGACCCCUCCAUACCACAAUCUGCUCUUUAUCGAAUGUCACGAGUAUACAAGGAACCAAA